This 62-nucleotide transfer RNA is filed under the name Proasellus ebrensis. RNAcentral's name for it is "transfert RNA-R(CGA)". Lineage: Eukaryota; Metazoa; Arthropoda; Malacostraca; Isopoda; Asellidae. The record is from RNAcentral.
AGAUAAGAAGUGAUACCUGCGUUUUAACUUCGAACUAAAGAAAGAAUUUUUUUCCUUGUCUA